RNAcentral lists this ribosomal RNA (329 nucleotides) under uncultured eukaryote. RNAcentral's name for it is "partial 18S ribosomal RNA". It matches the Rfam family "Eukaryotic small subunit ribosomal RNA", at positions 1470 to 1796 of the family's 1831-position model. The record is from RNAcentral.
CCCUUAGAUGUCCUGGGCCGCACGCGCGCUACACUGAGUGUCUGAGAUACGAGUCUGCCUGGUCCGGCAAGGUCUAGGUAAUCGCUAAAAGACACAUCAUGCUUGGGAUAGAUUAUUGCAAAUAUUAAUCUUGAACGAGGAAUUCCUAGUAAGCGCAAGUCAACAGCUUGCGUUGAUUACGUCCCUGCCCUUUGUACACACCGCCCGCCGCUACUACUGAUUGGAUGUUUAAGCGAGGUUCUCGAACUGCUAGCGACUUAGCUUCGGUGAGGUCGCAGUGUGGGAAGUGAACCUAGCUUUGGUGUCUAGAGGAAGUAAAAGUCGUAACA